CUAAGGUUCCUACUGAUGUACCUGCUGUAGCCUGUAGACAAUGAAGUUCUUUCUUUCUUGUGAUUAUUUAUUUUAGGGUGAAUCAGGUAAAGCAGGACAAGCAGGUCCCACAGGCCCAGCCGGAGAUCCCGGUUUGUCUGGACCCCCAGGACCACCAGGGAAGGGGAAAGAGGGGCAAAAUGGGGAGCCUGGACCACAGGGAAUUCAAGGACCCCCAGGGCUAAAGGGCCAGUCCGGGUCACGAGGAGAAGCAGGGUCACCGGGGGACAGGGGUUCUGCAGGAGAAGGCAAAGUGGGACAAUCGGUACGAGCAUCAGUGUUAUCUUCAUUUCAUUAUUUCACCUCGCAGUUAUUAUCAGUCCGUUAAAUUGCCAGCUAUCAUCGGGAGCUCA
This 392-nucleotide long non-coding RNA is filed under the name Cottoperca gobio. RNAcentral describes it as "lncRNA (ENSCGOG00000017002.1)". Lineage: Eukaryota; Metazoa; Chordata; Actinopteri; Perciformes; Bovichtidae. The record is from RNAcentral.